AUAUUGUUACAAAAUCUGUCUAAAAUCUGUUGUAGUGAGCAUUUCUCCUUUGUCGCGAUAAUCCAUCCCACCAUACAGGUGUGUAUCAAGAUGCUGAUUAGACAGCAUGAUUAUUGCACAGGUGUGCCAUAGGCUGGCCACAAUAAAAGGCCACUCUGAAAUGUGCAGUUUUAUCACACAACACAAUGCCACAAGUUCUGAGGGAGCGUGCAAUUGUCUCCCAAGGUGUGUCAGACAAUUUGGCAGUACAUCCAACCAGCCUCACGUGUAACCACACCAGCCCAGGACCUCCACAUCCAGCAUGUUCACCUCCAAGAUUGUCUGAGACCAGCCAGCCGGACAGCUGCUGCAACAAUCGAAAUGUGCCUUGUACGUACAGGAUCCAGACGAGACUGUUGUGCAGGUCCGGGUCUACAGACUCCAUGUCGUCCAGGGUGAUGGGUUUACCUAGCAGUUGUUUGUAGAAGGGUAGUGUAAAGCCU
Molecule: long non-coding RNA, 482 nt
Organism: Phyllopteryx taeniolatus (common seadragon)
Lineage: Eukaryota; Metazoa; Chordata; Actinopteri; Syngnathiformes; Syngnathidae
Exons: 3
Source: RefSeq, a predicted model, not a curated record